CCAGCGUGGGGCGGGUUGGGGGAGACAUCCUGUCCUGCGUGCGCAUCUGAAAGGCCGCGACCCGCUGGAGGAGCUCCACUGACGGCGUCGUAGAGGUCCAGUAGCUUAACUGUCCGUUAAAUGAUGAAUGAGUUAACUAAUUUCGGCUGCGAACUUGCACACUCGUCGCCUGGCUCCUCCCUGCAGCACUUGGAGACAGACCAGACACCAAAGAAGUUGAAAUGGCCCUGAGAAGAGUCACCCUCAAGGAUGCUGGAAAGGAUGCUGGAAAGGAUGCUUAGAAGCUGGGACAUAUUUAUUCCAGCAUUCUGCUUGAUUCCGCCUCACAGACUGCUUCAGUAGCUGUUUCCUCAAAAAUCUUCAGCCAGAAAAAAAUCUAUACACUUAGCUAGGUCAUCCAGCAUCACAGACUAUUCCAAUCAGAACUUCAAAUAAGCCCUUGCCUUUCUUAGAACACAGAGACUGGACAACAGAUGUCGGUAUAAUGUUCUUGUGGAAUGUAUACAAUUUACCUUUGCUCGUUCAAAUGCUAAUUUCUCUACCCCACUGGCUGUUUUCAAUCCAGAUAUUAACAUGUGAGGCUUAAUCUAAGCAUCACCUGUCCCAAGUUUGUAUAAACAUGCUACCAUUUGUUCUCUAUAUUGCCAAUAAAAACAACCAGCCAAUGCUGAGCAAUGGAGAGAAUACAGUGGGACAUCCUGGUCUGAUGGGGAGGAGAAAGAAGGGAAUGGGAGGAGAGAUCCCAGAGGCGAGAACCAGGAAGCAUCAAGAGAAGUGAACUGGACCUAAGAUAUGACUAAAAAGCAAGUAUAAUGUGGGAAAUCUGGGAGGAAGCUAUGCGGGCGUAGAAGUUUAGAAUGGAGUAACUAUUGCCCAGCAUUGUGCUCUAGGUUAAUCAAGUACA
This is a long non-coding RNA of Psammomys obesus (fat sand rat), 904 nucleotides long. RefSeq lists it as uncharacterized. The transcript is spliced from 2 exons. Lineage: Eukaryota; Metazoa; Chordata; Mammalia; Rodentia; Muridae. The record is from RefSeq and is a predicted model, not a curated record.